CUGCGUCUGAUACUGUUAGGCUAGAGUUAUGGAGAGGAAGNCGGAAUUCCUGGUGUAGGGGUGAAAUCUAUAGAUAUCAGGAAGAACAUCGGUAGCGAAGGCUGCCUUCUGGACAUAAACUGACGCUGAUGUACGAAAGUUAGGGUAGCAAACAGGAUUAGAGACCCUGGUAGUCCUAACUGUAAACGUUGUAUACUAGGUGGUGGCAUUUUGAUCGUGUCACUGCCGUAGCUAACGCAUUAAGUAUACCGCCUGGGGAGUAUGCCGGCAACGGUGAAACUCAAAGGGAUUGACGGGGGCCCGCACAAGCAGUGGAGCAUGUUGUUUAAUUCGAUGAUACGCGAGGAACCUUACCAGGUCUUGACAUAUACCUGAAUGUUGUAGAAAUACAUCAGCCUUCGGGCAGGUAUACAGGUGCUGCAUGGUUGUCGUCAGCUCGUGCCGUGAGGUGUUGGGUUAAGUCCCGCAACGAGCGCAACCCUUAUUCUUUGUUGCUAACAGUUCGGCUGAGCACUCUAAGGAGACUGCCGGUGACAAACCGGAGGAAGGUGGGGAUGACGUCAAAUCAUCACGGCCCUUAUGACCUGGGCUACAAACGUGCUACAAUGGGCGGCACAAAGAGUUGCGAUACCGCGAGGGUGAGCUAAUCUCAAAAAACCGUCCUCAGUUCGGAUUGGAGUCUGAAACUCGACUCCAUGAAGCUGGAAUUGCUAGUAAUCGCAUAUCAGCCAUGAUGCGGUGAAUACGUUCCCGGGCCUUGUACACACCGCCCGUCACAUCACCCGAAUUGAUUAUACCCGACGUGGCCGAGCUAACCCCUUUUGGGGAGGCAGGUUCCUAAGGUAUGGUUGGUAAGGGGGAUGAAGUCGUUAACAAGUA
Molecule: ribosomal RNA, 879 nt
Filed under: uncultured organism
Description: bacterial SSU rRNA
Rfam family: Bacterial small subunit ribosomal RNA
Source: RNAcentral